This 5778-nucleotide long non-coding RNA is filed under the name Homo sapiens (human). RNAcentral's name for it is "HSALNT0264912". The record is from RNAcentral. Lineage: Eukaryota; Metazoa; Chordata; Mammalia; Primates; Hominidae.
UGUCACAGUCUUGGCUCACUCCAACCCCUGCCUCCCAGUUUCAAGCGAUUCUCUUGCCUCAGCCUCCCAAGUAGCUGGGAUUACAGGUACACACCACCAUGCCCGGCUAAUUUUUUUGUAUGAGAACACUUUUUUGUACUAUUUUGGAAAGAACCACUAGAUGUACUAUUAAAAGAAAAAUGCAUAUACACCUACUAUGUACCCACAACACUUAAAAUUUAAAAUUAAAAAAAAGAAAAAUGCAAAGUUCCAAACAGUAUGUAUAAUAUGCUAUCUGCUAAUUAAAAUGCUAAAAGAAGAAGAAACAGUGGACAGCAAGAAUACACACAUUCAUGUUUGCUUAUAUAUGGGUAAAGAAACUCAGGAAAGUUACAGGAGGAGCUAAUAACAGUGGUUAAUUACAAUGGUAGAGGAGAGGCUUGGCAGAUAAGGGACUCGUUUGCAGAUAUGACUUUCCUUUGUGUACAUUUCUAUAUAUUAUUUUACUUCUUCUGAAAAUGCCACAUAAUUUGCAAUAAAUGAUUCACUCCUUAGCUCCAAAAGCAAGUCCUUUAUCAAAAUGCAAAUGUUCCAGAGGGAUGUAGCCAGAUUCUGUGGACCGCCGUCUUUUUCACCCUUAAGAAUCCGUCGCUAUGAUUUCUCUUCCUCUGCUUGGAGACCUUUAGAGAGCCAGCCUGCAGCUGCUCAGAGCAUUGACUACUAAACAGCUCACAGUUGCUAUUGCUGAAAAUGCCCGGUGGUUAUGCCUUGCCUGACCAGGGGUAGCCCACAGCUGAUGACAGGCCCCCUUGCCUCAAGGUGGGACAACUUCGGUGGUGCCAUUCAUAUCCAGAGCUGCCUGGAAUCAGGCCGAGGCUGGACAUCAGCCGACCCCGCAUCUUUGCUGAGUUUAUUCCUCUGCUGUACUUCCCUCGCUUCCCUCACCUCCUUCUUGGUUUCUCCUGAGAGCCUCCCUCAAUAAAUCACUUACCCCAGAAUCCUUGUCUCAGACUCCGCUUCUAGGACCCAACUUAAGACAUUCACAAAAUAAAUCACAUUGAUGGAAAACAGAUCCCAUUCUCCAAAAUGAAUAACCAGUAGGCACUUGUGACUAGCACAAGCAUCAGCAUAUCCACAUGGUGCUAAACUAACACCAACCCAAAGCAGAUAGUGCUGGGUGGACUCGGUACAAGUUAAUAGCUCAUGGGUCUCCAUCCCCAACACCUUCAGACCCAAGGCUCCAGGGCUGCCAGCCUGAGAACCCUAAGUCAUGAUUUUGGGCACUUUGGCUGGAUUUCCUAGCAACUGGCUGAGAGCAGGACAGGUAAACAGAGUUGGGAGGAGGAAGCAAAAAAGGCUAGAGUGGACAUCAGUUGACUUUGCCUGCCAUGGUAGAGACUUUCAGUCAUCCACCAUAAUCCAUCCCCAUUCUGCUGCACAGAAGUAUUGUGGCUGAGACACCUGCUUUUCUCCACCCCUCUAGUUAAUGUGACUAAAUUCUCCCUAUGGAAUGGGAAUGGAAGGGCCAUACCCAGGCCAGUGUCUUCAGGUAGGGGCUGUGACCCUUCCACACCUGUACCAGACACAAUCAUCAUCUCACUGGGUUUUGCCAGCUUUCAGGUCUAUGUGCUGAAAGCUGCUUACAGCUAACCUCUGCAGAUUUUCCUGGCACAGGAGGCAUGCUUGGCCAGUGCACAGGGCAAGUUGGAAGGGCCCUAAUGUCAGCAGCCUUCAACCAAUGAUGGAUGGAAAGUUGCAGACAGUGUCCUAUGCAUCUGCAGUGGGAUAACUCUGAGACGUGUGCUGUACUGCCUCCUAGAGGGCCCAGGGUGAUUAAGCACCAGUUACCCACAGCAGUAACUUCCUUGAUUCUGUUCCCCACAUGGGCACUUUUCUUCCUGUCACACCUCCCCAAUCCCCUGCAGAUACUUUCUGGGAUUGCUUCCUAAACAAUCCACUUGAACUUUUUUUUUUUUUCUUUUUUUUGACAUGGAGUAUUGCUCUUGUUGCCCAGGUUGGAGUGCAAUGGCACGAUCUUGGCUCACUGCAACUUCCGCUUCCUGGGUUCAAGCAAUUCUCCUGCCUCAGCCUCCUGAGUAGCUGGGAUUACAGGCGCCUGCCAUCACGCCUGGCUAAUUUUUGUAUUUUCAGUAGAGACGGGGUUUCGCCAUGUUGGCCACGCUGGUCUCAAACUCCUGACCUCGUGAUCUGCCCGCCUCGGCCUCCCAAAGUGCUGGGAUUACCGGCGUGAGCCACCGUGCCCAGCCCCACUUGAACUUUAAUCCUUGCCUCGGAAUUGGCUUCUGGGGAAACCAAAAAUAUAUUAAAAAAAGAGAGACCAGGACCUUAAAAAGAGCCCAAGUUGUUGAGCUCCCUGCCAAGUCACCCCCAGGUAUCUCUGCCCACCAGCUUGCAUGAGCCAGAUCCUCAGUGCAGGUUUUUCCAAUCAGUCAUUUGUUCUUCCACCCAACGCUCAAGAUUUGCUUCUUCAAGACAACUCUCUGAUCAGCUGAGACCCAUAGACACCCAGCUUCUACCACACAUAUGAUGGCAUUAUCCUAGGGCAUGGCAGAGCAACGCAAGGGAAAACUCUGGGCCCCCAAGUGAUGUCAUGGAGGAGAACUCUCAACCCAGAACUACUACGUGAGAAACAACGCUCUCUCUUCUUUAAGCCAUAGGUGUGUUGGGAAUCUUUGUUACAGCAGCACGCCUGAUCUUUUGUUUUGUUUUGUUUUGUUUUAGAGAUGGAGUCUUGCUCUUUCGCCAGGCUGGAGUGCAGUGGUGCGAUCUUGGCUCACCAUGUUGGUCAGGCUGGUUUCAAAUCCCUGACCUCAAGUGAUCCUCCCACCUUGGCCUCCCAAAGUGCUGGGAUUACAGGUGUGAGCCACCGCACCCGGCCCAGCCAUGCCUUGUCUUAACUAGCAUAGCCGCCCAACGUCCACUUCUUUUGGCCAUGUUGUCCUGAUUCUGCUGGAGAAUCCCUUUCCCACUGCUCCCAGACCAGUGGUGUAGCUGACCUGCGCUCUCUCCACUCAAUUCAGGGGAGGGAGGGGUUUAGGCCUGGGCUAAGAGAGCUGCACAUUUCCCAGGGCACAGUGAUUAGUUGAGGGUGGGUCCCAGAGCCAAAUCUGCCCAAGAUCUUAGCCUGAAAGAGAAACCCUCCUGCUGAGUGACUGCACUGUGAGGCAGAAGUCCAGAGCUGUGGGUGGCCAUCCAGCCUCCAUUUGCGCCUGCCUGAGAAAGAAGCCACCAUGGGGGAAAUCGAGCUAAAAGACGGAGAGGGAGGUAAGAGAGGAUGACAUCACAUAAGCACCAGAUCUGGCCACCCCUGAAACUGGAACAACCCUAAGCUUUACAGCUACUACAUUCCCUUUUCUGCUGAAGUUGUUUUACACUGGGUUUCUGUCUCUUGCAACCAAGAGCUCUGUUAAAUAAAAACCUGACCCUAAGGAGAACGUUAGCUGGUUCACAAUUCCCUGUGCAAAACAGGCACAGGUCAGCUGCCCCAGCCUGUCGUUUGGAUAUUCCUUUCUAAGAACGCUCACUUUUGUUGUCUACAUGACCCAGAUAACCAAGGAGAAAGCAAAUCAACCGCCUUCCAGCGGCGCCUUCCUUGGCAGCAAGUGCUAAGAGAGAACACAAUGUGAGUACUCUGCCCUCUGGAGUCAGGGUUGAUCCUCAGCACUUGCUGUCCUGGGAGGCUGCACCUGUGACACUUGAGUGCCAGGUUCAACCCCUACUGCUGCUGCUGCUGCCUGAAUGGGGCCAUUUAGACUGUUGAGUGCUACAGCCUCAGCCCAGGAACCCGGAGCUUCACAUGAGGCAGAGCAGGGCCCCAGGGUCCCUGAAACUUGCCAGUUCAAACAGCAGAGGGGUGAGGACUCCCCAGUCAGCCCUGGUCUCAUACCUGCCUCUGCAUGGUCCCAGUCCAGCCUGAGGCCUUUGCUUUCUUUUUUGAAGGGAAGGUGAGGAGAGAGGGGGAAAAUAGAGGUGUUCUGACUAGACUUAGGAUUCCUGGCCUCUGCCUCUGACCGCCAGAGGACAGCCUCUGCAGUUGCCUCAUCUACUCAUGAAAACAGGCCUGUGACCCCAGGGGUGCUCUGAGGAUUCUUCCAGAAAACAUCUGCCCAGCUAGGACUACCUAGCUCACUGCCCAAAAAGGGUUCAUUUCCUUUCCUUCUGAAACAAAAGCGCUUAAUUGGAAGAGAAGCAUUGACUCAAGCUAUAGGAUAUGCCACUUAAAAUGUCCAGAUCUUGGCACAAGGCCUGGCGCACAGUGUGGGAGAGAAGGAGAGAAGAAGGUGGAAGGAAAGGAGGGAGGGGAAAGAGGAAGCAGGGAGGGAGAAAAUAAGACAAGGGCCUCCUCAUCUGGAUGCUUCCCUAGACCAAGAAGUGGCCCAGGUGGUGCCCAGGGGACAGGGAGUGGGCAAUAAAAGACAAUGGGGUGUAGGUGAUAGGGUGUAGAUGAUCAGGGUAUAGGUGAUCAGGAUGUAGGUGAUGGGGUGUAGAUGACUGGGGUAUAGAUGAUUGAAGUGUAGGUGAUGGGGUAUAGAUGAUCGAGGUGUAGGUGAUGGGGUAUAGAUGAUUGAGGUGUAGGUGAUGGGGUGUAGGUGAUGGGGGUCAAGGUGAUCAAGGUGUAGGUGAUGGGGUGUUGGUGAUUGGGGUGUAGGUGAUGGGAUGUAGGUGAUCAGGGUCAAGGUGAUUGAGGUGUAGGUGAUGGGAUGUUGGCAACCAGGGUGUAGGUGAUCAGGAUGUAGGUGAUGGGGUGUAGACGAUCAGGGUGUAGGUGAUGGGCUGUUGCUGACCAGGGUGUAGGUGAUCAGGGUGUAGGUGAUCCGAACUUCCUACUCAAUUCAGGCAACAGCUCCCAGCCUGAGGCAAAUACCCCCCGAGGCAGUCAGGGUCUCACCUCCCAUGGCUCUGACGCAGGCCUCCAAGGUGAGGAGAUGGAGGUAGCAGAGGUCACUUCACUCAGCUGUCACACACCCUGAGGGAACUCCUGUCACUGUUAUCCCACCUGCAAGUGAGGAGCCAGCAUUUCUCAUGCUCCAGGGUUGGCCACAGAGCCCAUUCAAGGGAGGGAGAAGAGCCUUCGGCCAGCGCAUCCUAACCGCAGAAAGCCAAGACCUCUGCAGAAAAAGAGACCAGGCCCAUAAAAAGAGAUCCAUGAGUUGAGUUCCCUGCCAUGCCACCCCCAGGCAUCUCUGCCCACCAGCCUGCAUGAGCCAGCCCCUCAGUGCAGGUUUUUCCAAUUGGCCGUUUGUUCUUCCACCCAACACUCAAGAUUUGCUUCUCAGCCUGGACAACAUAGCAAAACCCCAUCUCUACAAAAAAUACAAAAAUUAGCUGGGCAUAGUGGCACACACCUAUAGUCCCAGCUACUCGGGAGGCUGAAGUGGGAAGAUUACCUGAGCCUGGGAGGUCAAGGUUGCAGUGAGCCAUGAUCAUGCCACUGUACUCCAGCCUGGGUGACAGAGUGAGAACUUGUCUCAAAAACAAAAAAAGAGAGGAAGAUCUGCUUCUUCAAACCCACACAACUAAUAUAAAGUAAUCAACCUCCCCACCUCAAUAACCUGAAGUUAAACAUCACACAAUAAGCCCUGAACAGAGAGCUGUAGGUCAAUGUUCCAUUUUGCUUUUAAAAGCUUCACAAGAACAUUUCAUUUAUUAAAAUAGUUUCUGUAAACUCUUUCAGAAUAACAAAAUUCACUUGCCUUGCUUAAACAGCAUUUCAAGUAGAAGUAUUUUUAUUUCAAGGCACCAUAAAAUGAUGAUCUCUCUAAGAAAUACCUCUCCUUC